Molecule: transfer RNA, 88 nt
Filed under: Didymella heteroderae
Lineage: Eukaryota; Fungi; Ascomycota; Dothideomycetes; Pleosporales; Didymellaceae
Rfam family: tRNA
About the family: Transfer RNA (tRNA) molecules are approximately 80 nucleotides in length.
Source: Rfam by way of RNAcentral
GCGGGCGUAGUCUAGUGGUUAUGAUGUCUGCUUUACAGUUUCUACUGCAAAGCGCAGAAGGUCGGGAGUUCGAUCCUCCCCGCCCGUA